RNAcentral lists this ribosomal RNA (1235 nucleotides) under Calceomyces lacunosus. RNAcentral describes it as "LSU rRNA". It matches the Rfam family "Eukaryotic large subunit ribosomal RNA", at positions 130 to 1391 of the family's 3401-position model. Lineage: Eukaryota; Fungi; Ascomycota; Sordariomycetes; Xylariales. The record is from RNAcentral.
CUUCUGGUCCGAAUUGUAAUUUGUAGAGGAUGCUUUUGGUGCGGUACCUUCCGAGUUCCCUGGAACGGGACGCCUUAGAGGGUGAGAGCCCCGUACGGUUGGAUGCCUAGCCUCUGUAUAGCUCCUUCGACGAGUCGAGUAGUUUGGGAAUGCUGCUCUAAAUGGGAGGUAAAUUUCUUCUAAAGCUAAAUACCGGCCAGAGACCGAUAGCGCACAAGUAGAGUGAUCGAAAGAUGAAAAGUACUUUGAAAAGAGGGUUAAAUAGUACGUGAAAUUGUUGAAAGGGAAGCGCUUAUGACCAGACCUUUGCCUGGCGGAUCAUCCGGUGUUCUCACCGGUGCACUUCGCCAGGUUGAGGCCAGCGUCGAUUUCUGGAGGGGGAUAAAGACAGUGGGAAUGUGACUCCUCCGGGAGUGUUAUAGCCCAUUGUGUAAUACCUCUCUGGGGAUCGAGGUUCGCGCUCUGCAAGGACGCUGGCGUAAUGGUCAUCAGUGACCCGUCUUGAAACACGGACCAAGGAGUCGAACAUUUGUGCGAGUGUUUGGGUGUUAAACCCUCACGCGUAAUGAAAGUGAACGGAGGUGAGAGCCCUUACGGGUGCAUCAUCGACCGAUCCUGAUGUCUUCGGAUGGAUUUGAGUAAGAGCAUAACUGUUCGGACCCGAAAGAUGGUGAACUAUGCGUGGAUAGGGUGAAGCCAGAGGAAACUCUGGUGGAGGCUCGCAGCGGUUCUGACGUGCAAAUCGAUCGUCAAAUCUGCGCAUGGGGGCGAAAGACUAAUCGAACCAUCUAGUAGCUGGUUACCGCCGAAGUUUCCCUCAGGAUAGCAGUGUUGUUUUCAGUUUUAUGAGGUAAAGCGAAUGAUUAGGGACUCGGGGGCGCUUAUUAGCCUUCAUCCAUUCUCAAACUUUAAAUAUGUAAGAAGCCCUUGUUACUUAAUUGAACGUGGGCAUUCGAAUGUAUCAACACUAGUGGGCCAUUUUUGGUAAGCAGAACUGGCGAUGCGGGAUGAACCGAACGCGAGGUUAAGGUGCCAGAGUAGACGCUCAUCAGACACCACAAAAGGUGUUAGUACAUCUUGACAGCAGGACGGUGGCCAUGGAAGUCGGAAUCCGCUAAGGACUGUGUAACAACUCACCUGCCGAAUGUACUAGCCCUGAAAAUGGAUGGCGCUCAAGCGUCUCACCCAUACCUCGCCCUCAGGGUAGAAACGAUGCCCUGAGGAGUAGGCGGCCG